CACACUCACACAUGCACGCUCAUACCCGUGCUGAGUGAAUCCAGUUAAUUCCCAGAGAACUGCAAAUAAAGUGUCAGCACUUUAGGAUGCUGCAUCAAAUACCAUUCUACAAAAGAGGAGAGGUCCCCAACGCUUGGAGUGUAACUUGAGUGGAGUACCUGUUUUCCUUUACUUCUCCCACCUAGACCUGAGUGCUUCUGGCCCUGAAACAUGUGCAAAUUCAUCACAUGCUGGAGAGCUACGAUGCACCUUCUCUGCCCCAGCUAGACCUCCUAUUUGCAUGGUGGUUUUUAGUUUCAAAGCUCUUUCAAUAGUAUUGCCUCAUUUAAUCCUCCUACUAAUUCUUCAAGGAGGGCUGCAGGAACUUGGAGUACUACAUGUAAUAACAUACUGGUCAUCACUCUUGGCAAAUAUUGAAAGCUUCACUUGGUCCCUGACACCUAAAGGAUAAAGAAGAGCUUGAUGAUCUGAUGUGAGGUCUGGAGAUCAGAAGUCCAAAAAAUGGGUCUCACUGAGCUACAAUCAAGGUGUCAACAGGCUGUGUCCUUUCCUGGAGGCUCUGGGAGAGAAUCGGUAUCCUUGCUCUUUUCCCACUUCGAGAGGCUGCCACAUUCCUUGGCUGGUGGCUCCUUCCUCCAUCUUCAAAGCCAGCGACAGAUGGUGAAUGGAGUCCUUUCACGUGGCUCACUCUGCCCUUGUUCCUGCUGUCACAUCCCCCCUUCUCUGUCUGACUUUUCUGUCCCCUUCCUCCACUCUUGUCAUUACCUUGGGCCCAUCUGAAAAUCCUGGAUCGUCCCCCUAAUUAAAGUCAGUGGACUAGCAACUUUAAUUCCAUCUGCAACCUUAGUUCCCUUCUGUCAUGUAGCCUAACCUCAUCACGAGUGUCAGGGAUUUGCACGUGGACAUCCUCAGGGACCCCAUCGUGAGUGGUUGGGGGGAUGUGGCCAGAAAGAAGGCAGUGGCAGAAUGCCCAAGAACUCUGCAGC
RNAcentral lists this long non-coding RNA (986 nucleotides) under Homo sapiens (human). Its description in RNAcentral is "HSALNT0392953". The record is from RNAcentral. Lineage: Eukaryota; Metazoa; Chordata; Mammalia; Primates; Hominidae.